CUACAACAUUUGUCUUAGGAGCCUUGAAAACUCCUAACAUCACCUAUGAAAAUAGGUGGUAUUAAAAUCCCCUUCUCGAAGCCAGUUGAUUCUUGAUUUUUGACGGAAAUAAGCUUCUUCUAUCUCUCGCAGGAAAAGCCAUUUUUGGUGGAGUUCUCUUUCCUGUUGGAACAGCUGCGGGGUAGGAGACUGAAGAGCUGAGACCUGCACAUGUUGUAACAAACUGUAAGUUUCACUCACCCUCUCUUGAAUUUUUGAAAAAUUCUCUCGAUUUAGUAAUUUAAGAUCUGUCUUAGUGACUUUCAACUUCCAACAGAACUGAGUCAUAGUCAUGCACAUGCUUCCGGCACGAAUCCAAGCAUCAUUUACCACCGCAGAAAAACCUGGGUGCUUGGUUAGGUAGUUUUAAAAUUUGAAAGGCUGGGUUCUGGUUUUGGGGAGGGUAAAGGCAAGGUCUGUUAGGCAGGGACAAUGGUCUGAGAAGAGUUGGGGGAGGAAGGUUGCAUGGGUGUGAGGAAAGGCUGAGACC
This 529-nucleotide long non-coding RNA is filed under the name Brassica napus (rape). Its description in RNAcentral is "long non-coding RNA (BNAP_LNC010554)". The record is from RNAcentral. Lineage: Eukaryota; Viridiplantae; Streptophyta; Magnoliopsida; Brassicales; Brassicaceae.